GGGGAAUAUUGCACAAUGGAGGAAACUCUGAUGCAGCGACGCCGCGUGAACGAUGAAGGCUUUCGGGUCGUAAAGUUCUGUCCUAGGGGACGAUAAUGACGGUACCCUAGGAGGAAGCCCCGGCUAACUACGUGCCAGCAGCCGCGGUAAUACGUAGGGGGCGGGCGUUGUCCGGAUUUAUUGGGCGUAAAGGGUUCGCAGGCGGUCUCUUAAGUUAGAUGUGAAAGAUCACGGCUCAACCGUGGUAAGCAUUUAAAACUGGGAGACUUGAGUUAAGGAGAGGAAAGUGGAAUUCCUAGUGUAGCGGUGAAAUGCGUAGAUAUUAGGAGGAAUACCAGUGGCGAAGGCGACUUUCCGGACUUAUACUGACGCUGAGGAACGAAAGCGUGGGGAGCAAAC
This 399-nucleotide ribosomal RNA is filed under the name uncultured bacterium. RNAcentral describes it as "bacterial SSU rRNA". It matches the Rfam family "Bacterial small subunit ribosomal RNA", at positions 356 to 773 of the family's 1533-position model. The record is from RNAcentral.